RNAcentral lists this transfer RNA (106 nucleotides) under Caenorhabditis elegans. Its description in RNAcentral is "Unclassified non-coding RNA C04E7.7". Lineage: Eukaryota; Metazoa; Nematoda; Chromadorea; Rhabditida; Rhabditidae. The record is from RNAcentral.
AAAAUUAAUAAAAAAAGACUGAAGAGAGUGGGAUUCGAACCCACGCCCCCGAAGGGACUGGUGCCUUAAACCAGCGCCUUAGACCGCUCGGCCAUCUCUCCACAUU